Molecule: ribosomal RNA, 402 nt
Filed under: uncultured bacterium
Lineage: Bacteria
Description: bacterial SSU rRNA
Rfam family: Bacterial small subunit ribosomal RNA
Source: RNAcentral
AUUGAACGCUGGCGGCAUGCCUUACACAUGCAAGUCGAACGGCAGCACGGGAGCAAUCCUGGUGGCGAGUGGCGAACGGGUGAGUAAUAUAUCGGAACGUGCCCAGUCGUGGGGAUAACGUAGCGAAAGCUACGCUAAUACCGCAUACGAUCUAUGGAUGAAAGCGGGGGAUCGCAAGACCUCGCGCGAUUGGAGCGGCCGAUAUCAGAUUAGGUAGUUGGUGAGGUAAAGGCUCACCAAGCCGACGAUCUGUAGCUGGUCUGAGAGGACGACCAGCCACACUGGGACUGAGACACGGCCCAGACUCCUACGGGAGGCAGCAGUGGGGAAUUUUGGACAAUGGGCGCAAGCCUGAUCCAGCAAUGCCGCGUGCAGGAUGAAGGCCUUCGGUUGGUUAACGUA